RNAcentral lists this ribosomal RNA (464 nucleotides) under uncultured Klebsiella sp. Its description in RNAcentral is "bacterial SSU rRNA". It matches the Rfam family "Bacterial small subunit ribosomal RNA", at positions 338 to 795 of the family's 1533-position model. The record is from RNAcentral. Lineage: Bacteria; Pseudomonadati; Pseudomonadota; Gammaproteobacteria; Enterobacterales; Enterobacteriaceae.
CCUACGGGUGGCUGCAGUGGGGAAUAUUGCACAAUGGGCGCAAGCCUGAUGCAGCCAUGCCGCGUGUGUGAAGAAGGCCUUCGGGUUGUAAAGCACUUUCAGCGGGGAGGAAGGCGGUGAGGUUAAUAACCUCAUCGAUUGACGUUACCCGCAGAAGAAGCACCGGCUAACUCCGUGCCAGCAGCCGCGGUAAUACGGAGGGUGCAAGCGUUAAUCGGAAUUACUGGGCGUAAAGCGCACGCAGGCGGUCUGUCAAGUCGGAUGUGAAAUCCCCGGGCUCAACCUGGGAACUGCAUUCGAAACUGGCAGGCUAGAUUCUUGUAGAGGGGGGAAGAAUUCCGGGUGUAGCGGUGAAACGCGUAGAGAUCUGGAGGAAUACCGGUGGCGAAGGCGGCCCCCUGGACAAAGACUGACGCUCAGGUGCGAAAGCGUGGGGAGCAAACAGGAUUAAUACCCCGGUAGUC